GAUCCAGCAAUACCGCGUGUGUGAAGAAGGCCUUAGGGUUGUAAAGCACUUUCAAUUGGGAGGAAAACCUGUCGGUCAAUACCCGGCAGCUUGACAUUACCUUUAGAAGAAGCACCGGCUAACUCCGUGCCAGCAGCCGCGGUAAUACGGAGGGUGCAAGCGUUAAUCGGAAUUACUGGGCGUAAAGCGUGCGUAGGCGGUUCGUUAAGUCAGAUGUGAAAGCCCCGGGCUUAACCUGGGAACUGCAUUUGAAACUGGUGGACUUGAGUUGAGUAGAGGGGAGUGGAAUUUCAGGUGUAGCGGUGAAAUGCGUAGAUAUCUGAAGGAACACCAGUGGCGAAGGCGACUCCCUGGACUCAAACUGACGCUGAGGUACGAAAGCGUGGGUAGCAAACAGGAUUAGAUACCCCUGGUAGUCCACGCUGUAAACGAUGUCAACUAGCCGUUGGUCCUAUUUACAGGAUUAGUGGCGCAGCUAACGCAUUAAGUUGACCGCCUGGGGAGUACGGCCGCAAGGUUAAAACUCA
RNAcentral lists this ribosomal RNA (527 nucleotides) under uncultured bacterium. Its description in RNAcentral is "bacterial SSU rRNA". It matches the Rfam family "Bacterial small subunit ribosomal RNA", at positions 385 to 903 of the family's 1533-position model. The record is from RNAcentral.